Molecule: non-coding RNA, 1192 nt
Organism: Ciona intestinalis (vase tunicate)
Lineage: Eukaryota; Metazoa; Chordata; Ascidiacea; Phlebobranchia; Cionidae
Source: RefSeq, a predicted model, not a curated record
AGUCGUUGUUUAUGUUGUGUAACAGCUUAGCGUAUCUUUUAAUGUCAUUCGUUUUUAUGCAGUUUUUUAUUAAACUAAAUGUUUUUAUGGUCAAGUCGUAUUCAGUAUUUCAGUGCAGCUUCUAACAGGCUCCAGCAGCAGUUAGGCCCCGAGAUUGACCGUUAAAGCAGCGUUCCGGACCAAACCACUGUUAACAAACGUAACACGAUAAAUCAAAUUCAUGCAAAUGAGUCAUUUCGUAGAAAAUGUCUAAGAAAUCUCUUGGAUGUCGUUGUUUAUUAUACACGUACCGCUUAUACGAUAUACCCCAAAUAUUCAAUCUUUCGAUUUUUUUGAUUGAAAGUAUGCCAUAUCCCACAGAAAAAGUAAUCAACUAUCAAUAAGUUUAUAUUGUGACGCCUUGACAAAAACUUUCGCAAGCGAAUCUUUUAAAGCAAGAAUUGUAGUAUAGUACUCCGGGGUAAUAUGGGACCCUUUCAGCAAAUAUUAUCCAAAUGUCUUGAUCGUGUUUUAAACAAUUAACAACGGUUUAUAGAAGUCGUGAGGAUACGGUUUUAUAUUUAUUUGACGGUUCUUUGUUUACUACCAAAUGGGACGAUAAAAUGUAGUGCACAUGUGUCCAUCUUUCCCCGCCCUACUGUAUACAGUAUUGGAUUUGCGGGUAAAGUCAAAUUAAGUCGUGCUUGUAAAAACUUUAGUGACUAGUGUUUGCUUACCUUAGUAUUUCAUUUGCGAACGUUCAUUGUGAACGACAGUAGGCUAUGUUGUUAUCGCGAAGAUGUUAUAUUCAUGAUUAAUUAUGCGCAAUUCAACAUUGGCGUGAUUGAUAUGUAUUGAAGUCAAAUCGGCAGCGAUACAGAAAACUAAGUAUGAUGUCACGAUGCAAUUACUUUCUCCUAACCUAACGUAACCAUUUUAAUUUUGAAAAGUAGAACAUAUACAACCAACUCAAUAAAAUCAAAUACUUAAACAUUUUUUGCGUAAAAGUUGUUUUUUUCAUCCAAUGCUGCCAGUAAUAUCAGGAAGACACAUAAACCAAGCAUUGCCGCAAUAUCACGUGCUGUGCUUAACUACAUCUUCAAUCGUUCACAUUCUUUUGUUGAAGCAAACAACAAAACAAUUUACUGGACACUCUUUUAAGUUGUAAGAUUAUAUUUGUGUGAUUUGAAGUGCAUGGAAUGAAAAUCUCAAA